UGCCAGCAGCCGCGGUAAUACGGGAGUGGCAAGCGUUGUUCGGAAUUACUGGGCGUAAAGCGUACGUAGGCGGAUUAAUAAGUUAGAGGUGAAAUCCCAGGGCUCAACCCUGGAACUGCCUUUAAAACUGUUAGUCUUGAGAUCGAGAGAGGUGAGUGGUAUUCCAAGUGUAGAGGUGAAAUUCGUAGAUAUUUGGAGGAACACCAGUGGCGAAGGCAGUUCACUGGACCGUGAUCGACGCUGAGGAACGAAAGCUAGGGGAGCAAACAGGAUUAGAUA
This 279-nucleotide ribosomal RNA is filed under the name uncultured bacterium. RNAcentral describes it as "partial 16S ribosomal RNA". It matches the Rfam family "Bacterial small subunit ribosomal RNA", at positions 506 to 784 of the family's 1533-position model. The record is from RNAcentral.